AAGUUUAGUCUGGACUAUUUCUUGCUGCACAAAGCUGUCAUUACAUUUGGAUUUGAGGGCAAUGGGACAAUGUGCGGUUUCCCUACUAAUAACUCCAGGUCUUGGUGACCUUCGAUCUUCGACUCCAGAGACUGUCGGGGUUUUUGCUGGAGCUGCCUCUGGAGUACAACACUGACAGCCUUACAGCUUUUUUUCUGUGCUUCUGCAAGAAAACAGCAAAGUUAAUUGAGAAAAUAGGGCAAAUUGGCAAAUACAGAGCUGAUGAUAUUCCA
Molecule: long non-coding RNA, 272 nt
Organism: Oxyura jamaicensis (ruddy duck)
Lineage: Eukaryota; Metazoa; Chordata; Aves; Anseriformes; Anatidae
Exons: 3
Source: RefSeq, a predicted model, not a curated record